GAUGAACGCUAGCGAUAGGCUUAACACAUGCAAGUCGAGGGGCAGCAUGGUCUUAGCUUGCUAAGACUGAUGGCGACCGGCGCACGGGUGCGUAACGCGUAUGCAACUUGCCUCACAGAGGGGGAUAACCCGUCGAAAGACGGACUAAUACCGCGUACACUUGGGAUAGGGCAUCCUGACCCAAGGAAAUGAAAUUCGCUGUGAGAUAGGCAUGCGUCCCAUUAGCUAGUUGGUGAGGUAACGGCUCACCAAGGCGACGAUGGGUAGGGGAACUGAGAGGUUGAACCCCCACACUGGUACUGAGACACGGACCAGACUCCUACGGGAGGCAGCAGUGAGGAAUAUUGGUCAAUGGGCGAGAGCCUGAACCAGCCAAGUCGCGUGAAGGAUGACUGUCUUAUGGAAUGUAAACUUCUUUUAUACGGGAAUAACAAGAGUCACGUGUGGCUCCCUGCAUGUACCGUAUGAAUAAGCAUCGGCUAACUCCGUG
This 490-nucleotide ribosomal RNA is filed under the name uncultured bacterium. RNAcentral's name for it is "partial 16S ribosomal RNA". It matches the Rfam family "Bacterial small subunit ribosomal RNA", at positions 28 to 507 of the family's 1533-position model. The record is from RNAcentral.